This is a long non-coding RNA of Oncorhynchus nerka (sockeye salmon), 3156 nucleotides long. RefSeq lists it as uncharacterized. The record is from RefSeq and is a predicted model, not a curated record. The transcript is spliced from 2 exons. NCBI's taxonomy places the organism in Eukaryota, Metazoa, Chordata, Actinopteri, Salmoniformes, Salmonidae.
AAAACCCUUGAAUGAGAAAGUGUGUCCAAACUUUUGACUGGUGCUCUGUAUCAUGGCCAUUAAUUUCAAAUAAUCAUGAAAAUGCUUUCCAACACUUCUGUCUACAGGAUCUGCCCCUCUUCUGGCAAGGCUCCGAAUUUGUCAUUAUGAAAUAUUCUUGGGUCAUCCUGCAUAAUCUGGAACAACCCAACAGCAAAACGUGAUCUUAAUCUGAUCACCCUGUUGUUGCAGGACCAACAAUGAGUUAAAUCAUGGCUUUACCUUCUCCCUAUUGAUGUUGUCAGGAAAAGUGACACCUUUGUCACCCAAGAAGUGUAGUAGGCGCUACCUCUAUUUCCUUCUUUGCCUCUGGACUAAACCUUUCAAAUAGGAAAAAUAAAAACGUCUUGGAGUUAGAUACUGUAAGUAUAUAAGUAAAUGAUCUGCUGUAAACAUGGUGUAUAUGUGGUGUCACUGUAAAGCAUCAGACAUAAUAUAAGGCACCAUGUGAUUUUCAAAUACCUUAGAUGACAUACAAUACCUACCUGGAGGUCGACAUACUUAGUUCCAUGCAACUUAAGUUCAUACAGUUGUGGUCUUCAUGUUCACAAAAUGUUCUGUCAACAUAUUGUAAUGCUCACCUACUUCUCAUUUGUAAAAUACGUCAAUGAAUGUUGCCAUCAGCACAAAGGAGACGUUUGGAAUAUUGUGGAUGAAGUUGACCAAUGCCGCUGAGUUAUCCAGGCCUAUAUGUUCCAGACAGAGGCAGGACAAGCAGUGUUGACAAGUAUGUUGGUUAUUAAUGAUCAACACCCAAACACUGACCCUGCCCCCCUCAUGUGUGCUACACAAGCUGUCCUCAUCAUAAUGUGUUCCACAUCCCACAAGGGGGCCGUCGUAAGCCAACAGGGCUCCGUAGUUAAUGUGUGGUGAACCAUAAUGGAGGACGGUUCAUGCUUGGUAACGUAAAUGCUUCAGAUCAGGAAGUCUGGCCUGCCCCUUUCCAUUCUUAGAUCUGUUGUUUUUACAUCCUUUAUCCCCUCUUAAGUUACAAUGCAGUAGGGGCUGUGUGUUUAUUGUGUCACACACACUUUUUAUGGCGGUAUUGGAGCAGUGGCUUCUUCCUUGCUGAGCGGCCUUUCAGGUUAUGUCGAUAUAGGACUCAUUUUACUGUGGAAAUAGAUACUUUUGUACCUGUUUCCUCCAGCAUCUUCACAAGGUCCUUUGCUGUUGUUGUUCUGGGAUUGAUUUGCACUUUUCGCACCAAAGUAUGUUCAUCUCUAAGAGACAGAACACGUCUCCUUCCUGAGCAGUAGGAAGGCUGCGUGGUCCCAUGAUGUUUAUAGUUGUGUGCUACUGUUUGUACAGAUGAACGUGGUACCUUCAGGCAUUUGGAAAUUGCUCCCAAGGAUGAACCAGACUUGUGGAGGUCUGCAAUUUUUUUCUGAGGUCCUGAGAGGCCCUGAGUUUGAAGGGAAAAGGUGGCACCAAAGUACCAGGCAAGACCACAGAAGAUUUGCGGACUGUACACUGACACAAACCAGGCAACUGCCAUAAAUGACAAUCAUGGUUAUGCUAGAGUAAGAAAGUUAAUUUAAAAAACGAAAUACAUUUGAUGUUCAGAUGGUCUUAUAAAAUGUGGUCUCGUUACACUCUUCAAAAAUGCAGAUAAACAUCAGAUGAACAUUCAGAAAAUACAAUGUCUCAUAGUAAUGUUGUGUGCAGAUCUAUGAUCAGGUCCCCCCUGUCCAUAUAAUCAUUUUCAUUAUGAUCUGCACCUACCCUGAGACGCUUUAUGAGGGCCCUGGAGGAUAGGAUAAAAUGUCAAUAGAUACUGUAUAGGCCUAUUAGCCCAUCUUACCUCAGGGUGGUGCUCCAACAUCUAUACUAAGAAACAUUUGAUUUUGCUGUGCAUACCACCUAGUCAACCCUCAAGCCCUAUAUUGUGUUCUGCUGACCUAAAUAUUUCUAGCUCUCCCUUCUCUCUUUUCCACUCCGCUCUCUCCGUCUUCUCCUUUCUCUCCCCUUUUCCUCUCCUCUCCCUCCUCCCUCUCCUCUCUCCCCUCUCUCUGCUGAUUCACAGCUCAUUGAGCCUGGCUUGCUAAUUGGCAGAUGCUCAGUCACAGAGGCUGCAUCUGCUACCUGUUUGUACCAAUUAACAGGCCCAUGACACAGCAAUGACACCUCUUCAAUGGCUUAACAGAUGCUGCAAUUAGGCACUAAUUUGAAUGGCCGCCUGUUUAGCAUGAGGACCCUCGUUGGCGCUGCAUCAUCCAAGCCAGGGGACCACCCGCUUGCCUUUCAUCUAUGUGCUGUUUUUGAUGCCUCUCUCUCUUAAACGAGGCAUGGGAAGGCAUGGAAGGGAAACCCUGGUGUGUUGACAAACAAACGCUCAGCGAUGGGCUAGAUUAGCCCUCUACAUAUUUCAUAAUCGUCAGUGGUCAGUGGUUAAGAUAGAUGGGUAUACAGUACAUUCGGAUGGGUAGAGAAAUGGAAAAGGUCAAAGUAGUUAUGUGCCAUCUGUUUUCUUUGGUCCCCAUUGGCCUCGAUACAGUGCAUUACUGUAACAUGGCCAUCUAUGGGAAGGUCACAGGACCAGUCUUCCAUGGCCUGCAUUCUCACCAGUCUUCCAUGGCCAUGCAUUCUCACCAGUCUUCCAUGGCCUGCAUUCUCACCAGUCUUCCAUGGCCUGCAUUCUCACCAGUCUUCCAUGGCCAUGCAUUCUCACCAGUCUUCCAUGGCCUGCAUUCUCACCAGUCUUCCAUGGCCUCCAUUCUCACCAGUCUUCCAUGGCCUGCAUUCUCACCAGUCUUCCAUGGCCUGCAUUCUCACCAGUCUUCCAUGGCCAUGCAUUCUCACCAGUCUUCCAUGGCCUGCAUUCUCACCAGUCUUCCAUGGCCUGCAUUCUCACCAGUCUUCCAUGGCCUGCAUUCUCACCAGUCUUCCAUGGCCAUGCAUUCUCACCAGUCUUCCAUGGCCUGCAUUCUAACCAAUGCAUUUAUUUCAAUUGACUGAUUUCCUUAUAUGAACUUUAACUCAGUAACAUCUUUGAAAUUGUUGCAUUUUGCAUUUAUAUUUCUGUUCAGUAUAGAUGUAUGCAGACUUGCAGUUCAAUGAAGGUUUAAGAAAGAAAUACAAAUGCAAGGGAAAUGUAAAUAAAAGUUCAAGAAAUUGUCU